Paramisgurnus dabryanus is the source of this 1969-nucleotide non-coding RNA. Lineage: Eukaryota; Metazoa; Chordata; Actinopteri; Cypriniformes; Cobitidae. The record is from RefSeq and is a predicted model, not a curated record.
GGAGCGCUCACACAGGCGCGCGCGCGCACGCUCACACACUGAAGGACGGGAUGCCUCGCACGCACGCACACACUGUAGUCGUGUGAUUUUGUGUACGAGCGAACUGGUGGAUUUUAUUCUUAAUAGUUUACAUUUCAAGAUGAUGUUGUGUUGUGAAAAACAUCGGAAUGAAGAUUUUACGACUCAAAGAGGAAAUUAUUCAAGAAAGCAAACAGAUUGAAGUGAGACUUUGGUUCAUCGUGACGGGAUGUUUUCCUGAGAUUUAUGUCAGUAAAGGACGUAACUUAAAUGUGGUAAAACUGUAAGCAUUGAUGUUUAUCUUAAUGUGGGCUAAAAGAUGUUUAAACUGGGCUGUAUGGUCAUGAUGAUGGUUUAACUCAUUUCAGUAAAGUUCAACUAAAUACGGAGGUUUUUCUCGUCCCUGUUGGGUUCUCUUGAAUUUUAAACUCGGCCUAUAACAUGAGACGGAUAGUUGUAAGGUUUUUUCUGUCUGUAUCUUUGAGUGAUUUUAAGUCAUUGCAUUCAAGAUCAAGGCGUUACAGGUGUGGCUAUUAAAUGAUAUUUAAUGUAGCUGUUAUCUGUGCAGUACAAACAAAUGCAUGAGUUAGGUUCAUUAGUUGCAUUCAGUCUAAUGAAUAAUGGUUAACUAACUUGGCUUGCUCUCCUCAGAGGAGCUCGAACACGAGGCUCGCUUCGAGUCCCAAGUUCAAACCCCAUCCCGUUGCAGAAGUGUGCGGAGAGAGGAACGAGCAAAAGAGGGAGGAGCUUGGGGGGAGGAGGUGGGGUGUUCGAUGUAGCGUCACUGGGAAGGCGUGGUCACUGACUCGCUCUCAAAGUGAUUGACGGGACUGAAUGUUUAUACUCAAGAGCUUCAUUUCAAACAGGAGGAGUGAAAUGUUAAAAUUCACCGCAUAGUCCAGGUUAGGUGUAAGUUAACAUAGCCUGAGGUGAGAUCGAGAUGAUGACUGUGAGCCAGAUCUCAACCUGACCUCACUGAUGCUGCUUUUGUGUCUGAAUAUGAGAAAAUCCCUCCAUCAGUGUUUCCAAGAGCAGAAGCUCUUCUAGCAGCAAUAAAAAGAAAAUAUGGGUGUGAUGUCGAAGUUUGCAAGGCUCAGAAAAGACACAAUCAAAAAUCUAUUGAGGGUUUGAUUUAAUCAGAUGUGAAAUGAAUGUUGACAAUCUUUAAUAUCACUGUGAGAGUGACACACAACAGUAAAAGACAAAAACACAAACUACUAAACAGUCUUUGUAAACGCAAUUAACUAUCAUACUGAAAAGAGUUAUCCUAAUACAAAAUAAGAGAAAUUGUAAAAUAAAGGGUUAGUUUCUCCUUCAGUCCAGGAUGGGAUCAGAGCUCAAAACACCUUCAAAAUGACUAUAUUGCUCUAAACGAUCCAAGAAAUGAAGUGAUGAGGACCACACGAUGAUCUUUUAAAUCAUUUUAGAGUCAUGCAUCCGAUCAGAAGGAUUUUAACCCUCUUCAACUCUCACUUUCACAUCAUCCAAACAUUCAUACCCUGAUGAGACUUUACAUGACAAUAGUGAUGUCGAAUCGCCCCCUGUUGCAUGACGAGUGUAUAACAGCAUCAGUACUCACACACGUAUGAUCACAUGUUCAUGAGACUCCACUGGAGUUUUAUUUUGGUAUAAGGUUAGGGUCUUUUAUUCAAGCUUCAUGUACACAAUGUUGAUUUUACUGACGGCUCAGACACAGAUCUCAUCUGCCGUUACCUCCUGCUGGAUGGAUGUAGCUGAUGUGAGCUCCUCCAACCCGACGGCGCUGAACACAAGAGAUUAUAAAACAUUGAGGAUUAUGUGCUUGACCGAGCAAAACUUACUGCUGCAAUGCUGGGACUGUUUACCGGGGUCUUAUGCAGUUUAUUGUGCAGGCAUUUUGAUUGUUUUGUCAAAAGAUCAUGGGUAUUAUUUUUCAGGUAACACACAGCCUAAUAAAAAAAACUUAAAUACA